RNAcentral lists this ribosomal RNA (468 nucleotides) under uncultured bacterium. Its description in RNAcentral is "partial 16S ribosomal RNA". It matches the Rfam family "Bacterial small subunit ribosomal RNA", at positions 28 to 507 of the family's 1533-position model. The record is from RNAcentral.
GACGAACGCUGGCGGCGUGCUUAACACAUGCAAGUCGAACGGAAAGGCCCUGCUUUUGUGGGGUGCUCGAGUGGCGAACGGGUGAGUAACACGUGAGUAACCUGCCCUUGACUUUGGGAUAACUUCAGGAAACUGGGGCUAAUACCGGAUAGGAGCUCCUGCUGCAUGGUGGGGGUUGGAAAGUUUCGGCGGUUGGGGAUGGACUCGCGGCUUAUCAGCCUGUUGGUGGGGUAGUGGCUUACCAAGGCUUUGACGGGUAGCCGGCCUGAGAGGGUGACCGGCCACAUUGGGACUGCGAUACGGCCCAGACUCCUACGGGAGGCAGCAGUGGGGAAUAUUGCACAAUGGGCGGAAGCCUGAUGCAGCAACGCCGCGUGCGGGAUGACGGCCUUCGGGUUGUAAACCGCUUUCGCCUGUGACGAAGCGUGAGUGACGGUAAUGGGUAAAGAAGCACCGGCUAACUACGUG